RNAcentral lists this transfer RNA (68 nucleotides) under Nebria ingens riversi. RNAcentral's name for it is "tRNA-Trp". The record is from RNAcentral. Lineage: Eukaryota; Metazoa; Arthropoda; Insecta; Coleoptera; Carabidae.
AGGAUUUAAGUUAAAUGUAAACUAAUAGUUUUCAAAGCUAUAAAUAAAUAUAUAAAUUUUAAUCUUUA